Felis catus (domestic cat) is the source of this 69-nucleotide non-coding RNA. The record is from Rfam. Lineage: Eukaryota; Metazoa; Chordata; Mammalia; Carnivora; Felidae.
GUAAAUAUAGUUUAAUAAAAACAUUAGAUUGUGAAUCUAAUAAUGGAAGUGCAAGUCUUCUUAUUUACC